AAAACAACAGACGUUUUGAUCCUUCCGCGAUGAUUUCUGUGUUAACGGGGCUAACCAGGAUCAUAUCAGCAAGCUACAUCGAAUGGAGGUUGCUAACAUGUCAACAUUUAUCAAACUUUAGGAUCUCAAACCAAUGAAUUUCAGCAUUGCUAAGCUUUGUGCUGCAUUUUGAUGCACGAAAUGACAAGUUGGUCUUAAAAGAAAACGAGAACAUGUAUCAUCCUUUCGAUUCCAAGAAACUUACCUUGUUGAACCAGACUAUCCGAG
Molecule: unclassified non-coding RNA, 267 nt
Filed under: Hevea brasiliensis (rubber tree)
Lineage: Eukaryota; Viridiplantae; Streptophyta; Magnoliopsida; Malpighiales; Euphorbiaceae
Source: RNAcentral